RNAcentral lists this long non-coding RNA (1078 nucleotides) under Daphnia pulex (common water flea). RNAcentral describes it as "uncharacterized LOC124191516, transcript variant X3". The record is from RNAcentral. Lineage: Eukaryota; Metazoa; Arthropoda; Branchiopoda; Diplostraca; Daphniidae.
GGGUACGACAUUUAGACGGUAGGGUUCGUCCAGACGACCCUAGGAACGGUAGCGCUCGUCGUGGCGGAGGGCUACAACAACAUACUGUCUAUAUUGGUCAAUAUAAACAAAGCAGUUCAAAAGUGUCAAUUCAGGUUUAUUGCAGGUUUAGUGUCGUUUCUUACAGUGUGUCAGGUAGAGAUUUGAUGAAAGAUUCUCUGACCAGGCAUCGAGCCAGAACCAAAGCCGAUAAAAGAAAAAAUUAUGCUCUACAACAGGAACCUAAACAUUCAUGGAACUUCUUGGCAGUAAUUUUGGCAGAGGCAGAGGCCGAGUUACCCAGUCUGAUGAAGUUGUAGCAGUUUCUAAUCAAGAAACUGCUAGUGAAAUAACUCCCAGUCUAAUGAAAGAAGUGGUGUACAGGAUAUCAUUCAUUCAGUCGCACUGGAAAAGACAUCAUUGAAGCAAGCAUUUCACAAUUUCACAAGAAGAAAAAGGAACUAAUCAAGAAAGCGAGUGGAAAACUUGCAUGAAAGACAAGGAAGAUGCUUGGGAUUCCAAGAGAGAUGCUGUCUUUCAAAACUACAUUAGCUCCCGUUCCUACAGUGCAAGUAAAUGUGGUGUAUGUGAAAAAGUCACUAAUCCUGUUUGUUGCUUUACUUGCAAGCAAGAUUUCUGCAGCAAAUGUGAUAUGAUCACUCACCGCAAACUGUUGGUACUACACAAUAGGGAGGUGUGUGAGAAUGGCGAAAAUUUAAAAUUCUUGCGCCAAAACGAGUUCAUAUCUGAAGAUGGGUACAUCACUGUUGAAGUGUCCCUUCCUGAAUGCAAAAGCCCUCAUUCGUGUACUACGAAACCUGGUUCAAGAGACGUAACCGUAGUUACAGCCAAUGGUAAAUGAGGGCAACUUCACGGAGGACAACCGAUUACCUGGAUUACAUCGACGAAGACACAAACAAUUAUCAAGACUACGCUGAUGAAGAAAAUGAUGACAUCAAUUGUUAUCCAUCGUUUAAAACGCUCACAUAUAUUUAUGCAAAUCUUGUAAUUACAUUUGAAAUAGAGCUAUUGUUUGAAGGGAAUAAAAGUAUUAUUACGA